CGGGGCGCGCUGAGGCGGAGCCGGAACGGGGCUGAGGCGGGACUCCACAGGAAUGGCCGGAACUCACAAACAGCUCCGGGAGCCUCGUAGGGCGUAGCCGGGGCUCGCUGGAGCCUUUCCGGGGUGCGGGAGCUCAGCCGAGCCGCCGGAGGGACGGAGCGGGGCCGGGCGGAGGCACAGCCCCGCAGCCACAGCCCCACAGCCGGCCGGGCUCAGAGGUGGAUAACGAGAGGGGCGAGGGGCCAGGCAGAGCCGAGCGGUGUCCUGGCCCGAGAGAUGUAUGUGCUAAUUAGCAGGGCAGUUAAUAGAGCAGACAGGGAGCUGUGCUUGCUGCUCCCCGGAGAACUCGGGAGAAGGAGCCCCCAGGGCUGCGGUGUCAGGAUCAGAGGCAGGAGCAAAAAAGAAUCCACAGGAAGUCAAGUGAGGCGGAAUUCCUUCUUUCCAGCAACAAAUGUGUGUGUGAGACUUGUGGGUGUAAUUUGGGUAGCUGUGGAAUUCCUACAAGUUUUGUUAGAAUUCCUAAGCUUUGUUAGCAUGGCUGAGCAGGUCCCCUCUUGUUUGUGUUACCAGAUGCCAGUGGAGCUUCCCAAAAGGAAUCCCAGAUUGGUUGGGGUUGGAAGGGAUCCUAAAUCCCAUCCCAUCCCACCCUGCCAUGGCAGGGACACCUCCCACUGUCCCAGGCUGCUCCAGCCCCAGUGUCCAGCCUGGCCUUGGGCACUGCCAGGGAUCCAGGGGCAGCCACAGCUGCUCUGGCAAUUCCAGCCCAGCCUCUCUCCAACCUCCCAGCCAGGAAUUCCUAAAUCCCAAUAUUCCAUCGAAAUUUCCCCUCUGGCAGAAAUACUCUUUUUUUUUCCAUAAAUGGCAUUUCUUGAAUAAUUUUCAGCUUGUUUGCUGUUUGUUCUACAAAGGAAGAGAUCAGGUCUAUUAUUCAGAGAAGAAAGACUAAUCCAGGCUAAGCAGGAAAAGGUGUUGAGGGUAAAAGAGUUCAUUUGAUUUUUGUUGAGUGUGGGUGGUUCUGGGGCAGAGCAGGUGCACCUGGAGACAAUAAAUGCAGAUUUAGCUCAAGGCCCCUAAGUGACUUCUGAGCCUCAUCAGCUGCUUGUGCUGUGGGUUUAAAAGGACAAAAGUGGGUUUUACUGGGAUUUAUCCAUGGGGAUCUCAGCAGUUACCAGAAAGGACCUAAAACUGGGAGUCCUGCUGCUUCUCUUUGGGAAGGUGGCAGAUGCCAAUCAAAAUCUUAAUGGAAAAAGAAGAAUUAAUCAUGGGGCAAGGACGAUGAUUGCAUUGUAAAGGAUUUUCCAAGCCCCCCUUCCAGACUCUGCCUCUUUAGCUCCCAGUGGAGGUGCAACCCAUGCAGCUGAAGUUUCCUGCCCUGGGUGGAUCAGCUGUUUUGGCAGCAGCUGCAGAAAUUCAACCCCAAGAGUCUGUGGUGUGGGUUGUACAGCCCAGAGACCUCAGUGAGAUCUGUAGUGUGGGGUUAAACUGGGGAAAAACCCCACAACACCCCUUGCAUGCUCUUUGGCUGAGGGGUGUGUGCUUUUCUGUGUUUUUUUCAUAGAAAUAUUUAAGGGUUUUCCCUUUAUUUGGGAGGUUCCUUUAACAAGUCCUGCCAAUUAAUCAAUCAAUCCCAUAAAUUAUAUAUAUUAAGUAUAGAGGUAUAAGAAUAAAUGUUUAUUCAGCUUUUGGGAUUUUAAAAUCAAUUAAUUGUGUGUCUGGAAGCAAAACCCAAAUGCUUAUUUGGUUUGGAGUAGC
Molecule: long non-coding RNA, 1752 nt
Organism: Vidua macroura (Pin-tailed whydah)
Lineage: Eukaryota; Metazoa; Chordata; Aves; Passeriformes; Viduidae
Exons: 3
Source: RefSeq, a predicted model, not a curated record